UAUCUUUACAUUUAUUUCACAAACUUUUCUCCAUAGCUGGUGACAUUUGCCUCUAGUUUAAAAUGGUUUCUUCUGUCCCUCCCUUGAUAAUGAGUAUAUUUGUCAAUGGUAACUAUUUGAAGAUGUAUUGUUUUAUAUUUCACAUUCAGAUGAAAAUUUUUUAUCAGAAAUGAUUUUUGUAUGGACCAAUAACAUAUGACUCAUGAUAAUGUGUGCUGCAUUAUUUUUCUACAUACAUCUCCAAACGAUCCAAUGCAAUUUGGUGAUGACUGUCUUUUCCUCCUGUUCCAUUUGUCAACUGUAUGAUAAACCAAAAGUUGACACAGAGGAUCAAACUCAAGACCUUAACAUGGUGUCUACUACUGAGCCACAUCCCCAGCCCAUUUUAAAAUUUCAUUUGGAGUCAGGGUCUCACUGAGUUGCCUUGGCUGGCUUUGAACCUGGGAUCCUCCUGCCUCAGCCUCCUGAGAAACUGGAUUACAAGUGUGUGCCACUUUGCCCAGCUCUGUGUUAUUUCAAUUAUGUGACAUUUGUUGAAACUUGCUUUAUGGCUCAGUAUAUUGUUAAUUUUUUAAUGAUAUGUACACUUGAAAAAAAUAAAUUCUGCUGUUUUAUGAUAA
Long non-coding RNA from Ictidomys tridecemlineatus (thirteen-lined ground squirrel), 620 nucleotides. RefSeq lists it as uncharacterized. NCBI's taxonomy places the organism in Eukaryota, Metazoa, Chordata, Mammalia, Rodentia, Sciuridae. The record is from RefSeq and is a predicted model, not a curated record.